AUGGAUCUGUCCAUCCUGAGUUGGAAUGUGCGGGGCCUAAACAACCCUGCCAAGAGAAGGGCUGUGCAGAUCUUUGUGUCUGAACUGAAGUGCAAUGUUGUCUGCUUGCAAGAAACAAAGAUUAGUGACAUGACAAAUGGGUUCGUAAUGGAGAUGUUGGGGCCAAAAUUCACAGAUAAUUUUAUCUUUCUACCGGCGGCUGGUUCAAGAGGGGGAAUUCUC
Molecule: ribosomal RNA, 222 nt
Filed under: Triticum aestivum (bread wheat)
Lineage: Eukaryota; Viridiplantae; Streptophyta; Magnoliopsida; Poales; Poaceae
Description: partial small subunit ribosomal RNA
Source: RNAcentral